Molecule: long non-coding RNA, 2214 nt
Filed under: Panax ginseng (ginseng)
Lineage: Eukaryota; Viridiplantae; Streptophyta; Magnoliopsida; Apiales; Araliaceae
Description: long non-coding RNA (PGIN_LNC000033)
Source: RNAcentral
GGAUCUAAUUUCAGUUUUCUUUUUCCUCAGAAAGGAGUGGACUGUGGGUGAAAGCAUAGGAAACUCGUUGAUACCUCCUGUUGGUGGUGGUCUAUACUCCAGCCUAGAUUAGUCACUUUGGUCGUAUGACUGAAAAGAAAAAGUAGAUAAAGAAAAAGGGAAGUGACAUAUGACGGACUUAAAUACGCCUGCUGCUCCUGAAGAGGGAAAACAUCCUCUUUUGGAUGAGUGUUUAGAAUAUUGGAUCUAAUGUAUCUUCCUUCUCUUCUUCUUUAUAAGGAAGAUUUACUUACAUUAGUAUGAUAGAAAUACACAUGGAAUACAUGCGUAUUUCCUGUUGGUGGUGGUCUCUUCUUCUUUCUUAUUUCUUUAGUAUAUUAAAGUGGUUAUAGAUAUAUACCAAUUGUUGAAGAGCCAAAUGUUUGGUUCAUUAGUCCAUAUUCUUAACCAUUCCCUGGUAUCUACAUAUGAUGCAUGCUUGGCAGUUGAUGUACAUAUACAUUAGUGUUCAUUAGUUCAUUUUCUGUUGUUGUGAUCAUUACUUGUUGGUUUAUCUAUCCUAUAAGAUUGAUUCAUUAUGAAAUUUGUAGAUUUUUGUUGUCCAUCGGUAAUAGCUUAUGUACGUGUUUUCUAUGUGGGUUGAUAGGCUUUGUCAGCGACAGGAUCAACGGCUCUAAGAUAUGCACGUGAAGUAGAAGGAUUGGUCAAGUUGUUGCACUGGACAAUGAUAAAGGUACAUUUGACUUUUCAGCAAUGUUGUGUUUGAUAAUGCCAUUUGUAGAAUGGUCUUAUGCUUAUUGUUUUAAAGGAGUAUGUUGGCCUUUGUAUAGUUUAGUACAUAUGCAGAGAUAUUGUAUACACUUAUCCUAUGAUUGUUAUUUUCAGGUGUAUGUUUUUAUGUAUGGUUUACACUUCGGAAUUUUUAAAAUGCAUGGUUUGCUAAUGUUCAAUGAUACUUGCAUAUAUUCUGUUCAAUGUUUUUUUGUUUAGGUAUUUGCAUGUUUUUAUGUAUUCCUGUUGAUGGUCUUCUGGGAAUGUUUAAUGUUCUAGUUAUUUUGUGAUUUAUAUUAUACUUUAAAUUUCAUUUGUCCGUUUUUUUAUUUUGGUUAUUCUUCCAAUUAUUUUGUGGUGAAUACAUACACUAUGAUAGGUAGUUCCAAUGUCAACAUAGAUAGAUCUAUGACUCUGCCAUGUAAUAGAUGUUUGAUAUUCAACUUAAUAUCACUUUCACAUAUGUUUUGAUUUGAACGGAACUUUUCUAUCAAUUUAGAUCAGCUAGGCAGUAAGUUUACCAUACGUACGUUGAAUUGCAAAUUGUGAUCUCUCUGUAUUCAUGUGGAUGUAAGCUAGUUCAUAGAGCUGAAUUUCUGUAUGUCAGCCGUAAUUUUGACACUUGUUUUAUUGAUUUAUAAAAUAUUGCCCCCAUACCAGAGCAAAUUAUAGCUAUCAAGGUAUUACUCAUUGUUCAAUUAGUUUCUUUUCUCACCCCCUGUUUACUGCGUCCCAUUACUUCUCAAUAUCAAAACAAUUUAGAGAAGUCUAUGUGGUUGGAAGUAGAUGUUUUUUGUGGACUGGAAUGGUAGAAAAGAGUUAUAUGUUUUAUGUUUAAGUAGAUUAGAUAGACUUUAUUAUCAUAGAUUAGAUAGAAUGUAUUAUCAACUCUUCUCAAUUUUAUCUUUUUUAUUGAUGCAUGUAAUAUGAUGGACUUAUUACUCAACCUUAAGACUUAUCUUGUGUGACAUUUUCUUUUGGGCUUGCAGAACUUCGAAGUUGAUGCUAUGGAGAAGUUUAUCAAAGAAAAUAGCGUGCCUACUGUGACUAUUUUCAACCAAGACGAAAGCAACCAUCCAUUCCUAGUCAAAUUUUUUGACAGUCCCAAUGCUAAGGUACUUCGAUUCUUAGCUUCCCAAAGUAAAAAAAAAUCUCAAUUUUGAAUAUGCUACUUAAAUAUCUUCAACUUGUGACAUACCUAAGGAUUGUAAUUCCAGAUUAUUAUAAAUAAAUAUAAUAUACUGCAUGUAUAAUUAACUCUCCCUCGGUCCUUUAAAUCAUGUCCUUCUUUCUUUGUAUUUGUGACAAUCUUGAAAUAUAAUAUGUUUUUGGUUGCAAGAAUCAGUUUUCUGAAAAUUUCAUUUCAUUUGCUUUAGGCAAUGCUGUUUCUGAACUUUAGUUCUGAGCUUAUUGAUGCUUUCAAGUCAAAGUAUAAUGAUGUUG